Molecule: ribosomal RNA, 301 nt
Filed under: uncultured bacterium
Lineage: Bacteria
Description: partial 16S ribosomal RNA
Rfam family: Bacterial small subunit ribosomal RNA
Source: RNAcentral
CAGUAGCCGCGGGAAUACGGAGGGGGCUAGCGUUGUUCGGAAUUACUGGGCGUAAAGCGCACGUAGGCGGCUUGGUAAGUUAGAGGUGAAAGCCCGGAGCUCAACUCCGGAAUUGCCUUUAAGACUGCCGAGCUAGUAGGUGAGAGAGGUAAGUGGAAUUCCGAGUGUAGAGGUGAAAUUCGUAGAUAUUCGGAAGAACACCAGUGGCGAAGGCGGCUUACUGGCUCAUUCUAGACGCUGAGGUGCGAAAGCGUGGGGAGCAAACAGGAUUAGAUACCCCGGUAGUCCCUGUCUCUUAUAA